This is a non-coding RNA of Candidatus Gottesmanbacteria bacterium, 72 nucleotides long. NCBI's taxonomy places the organism in Bacteria, Candidatus Gottesmaniibacteriota. The record is from Rfam.
GUCCCCGUAGCUCAACGGAUAGAGUAGGCGCGUCCUAAGCGUCUGAUGGCAGUUCGAUUCUGCCCGGGGACG